CCUACGGGGGGCUGCAGUGGGGAAUAUUGGACAAUGGGGGGAACCCUGAUCCAGCCAUGCCGCGUGUGUGAAGAAGGCCCUCGGGUUGUAAAGCACUUUCAGUGGGGAAGAACGCCUGGUGGUUAAUACCCAUCAGGAAAGACAUCACUCACAGAAGAAGCACCGGCUAACUCCGUGCCAGCAGCCGCGGUAAUACGGAGGGUGCGAGCGUUAAUCGGAAUUACUGGGCGUAAAGCGCGCGUAGGUGGCUUGAUAAGCCGGUUGUGAAAGCCCCGGGCUCAACCUGGGAACGGCAUCCGGAACUGUCAAGCUAGAGUGCAGGAGAGGAAGGUAGAACUCCAUGUGUAGCGGUGAAAUGCGUAGAGAUAGGGAGGAACACCAGUGGCGAAGGCGGCCUUCUGGCGUGACACUGACACUGAGGUGCGAAAGCGUGGGUAGCAAACAGGAUUAGAUACCCCUGUAGUC
RNAcentral lists this ribosomal RNA (465 nucleotides) under Vreelandella stevensii. RNAcentral describes it as "partial 16S ribosomal RNA". It matches the Rfam family "Bacterial small subunit ribosomal RNA", at positions 338 to 795 of the family's 1533-position model. The record is from RNAcentral. Lineage: Bacteria; Pseudomonadati; Pseudomonadota; Gammaproteobacteria; Oceanospirillales; Halomonadaceae.